GACUAACGCUGGCGGCGUGCCUAACACAUGCAAGUCUAACGAGAAAGCGGUAGCAAUAUCGUGAGUAAAGUGGCGAACGGGUGAGUAACACGUAACUAAUCUGCCCUCCAGUGGAGGAAACUCAGGGAAACUUGAGCUAAUCCUUCAUAACGUGAUGAGAUCGCAUGGUUUUGUCAUUAAAGAUUUAUCGCUGGAGGAGGAGGUUGCGUCUGAUUAGCCAGAUGGCGGGGUAACGGCCCACCAUAGCUAUGAUCAGUAGCUGGUCUGAGAGGAUGAUCAGCCACAC
RNAcentral lists this ribosomal RNA (286 nucleotides) under uncultured bacterium. Its description in RNAcentral is "partial 16S ribosomal RNA". It matches the Rfam family "Bacterial small subunit ribosomal RNA", at positions 28 to 313 of the family's 1533-position model. The record is from RNAcentral.